This is a non-coding RNA of Pelobates cultripes (western spadefoot toad), 299 nucleotides long. NCBI's taxonomy places the organism in Eukaryota, Metazoa, Chordata, Amphibia, Anura, Pelobatidae. The record is from the annotation of a GenBank genome assembly.
CAUCUUUGCACCACUGACGCAGAUGUACAAGGCAAAGUAUCCAGCAUAUACCAGCAACUGAUCACAGAAGACCAUACAAGGAGGAAUGCCUUUCAAAGACAAUGGGAAGACCUAACUGGAAGAACCUACUCGGAAGCCCAAUGGGGACAAAUACUCAUCCUCCAACACAAAAGCUCAAUUAGCACCAGGUAUCAAGAAGUAAACUACAAACUGAUAUCCCACUGGUACAGGACGCCUGCACUACUGCAUAGAAUAUUCCCGGGAGUCCCAGAGACAUGCUGGAGAUGCGAAAACCAAAC